Molecule: transfer RNA, 72 nt
Filed under: Nostoc sp.
Lineage: Bacteria; Bacillati; Cyanobacteriota; Cyanophyceae; Nostocales; Nostocaceae
Also listed under: 6 other names
Description: tRNA-Lys
Rfam family: tRNA
About the family: Transfer RNA (tRNA) molecules are approximately 80 nucleotides in length. Their secondary structure includes four short double-helical elements and three loops (D, anti-codon, and T loops). Further hydrogen bonds mediate the characteristic L-shaped molecular structure. tRNAs have two regions of fundamental functional importance: the anti-codon, which is responsible for specific mRNA codon recognition, and the 3' end, to which the tRNAs corresponding amino acid is attached (by aminoacyl-tRNA synthetases). tRNAs cope with the degeneracy of the genetic code in two manners: having more than one tRNA (with a specific anti-codon) for a particular amino acid; and 'wobble' base-pairing, i.e. permitting non-standard base-pairing at the 3rd anti-codon position.
Source: RNAcentral
GCACCGCUAGCUCAAUGGUAGAGCAGUUGACUCUUAAUCAAUUGGUUGAAGGUUCGAGUCCUUCGCGGUGCA